GGCAAGGUGGCCGAGUGGUUAUGGCGCUGGUUUUAGGUCUUCACCAAUCACCAGUGGGAAACUUCGCGGGUUCGAAUCCCGUCCUUGUCA
This is a non-coding RNA of Aspergillus flavus NRRL3357, 90 nucleotides long. Lineage: Eukaryota; Fungi; Ascomycota; Eurotiomycetes; Eurotiales; Aspergillaceae. The record is from Rfam.